This 493-nucleotide long non-coding RNA is filed under the name Nicotiana benthamiana. RNAcentral's name for it is "long non-coding RNA (NBEN_LNC021098)". The record is from RNAcentral. Lineage: Eukaryota; Viridiplantae; Streptophyta; Magnoliopsida; Solanales; Solanaceae.
CUCAAGAACGGAUACUGCAGCUGCUAAAUCACCAUUUUCAGCUGCAGCUCUUGCUUCUGCCAUUGCUUCUGCUGAUUGAAGCCGAUUACGCUGCUUGUCAACUUCCAUUGACACAACAAGUUGUCCAAUUGUGUCAGGCCUCUCAAUUUUGACAUCACUAGCAUGAUUCAAGGUUACUAAAUCUUUCGAUAUAGGCUCUUUAUAUGUACACUUAACUUUUACAAGGGUCAUAAAAUCAUUGCUUGACCUAUCAGCAGGAAUAUCAAUCAUGACCAAGAAAUCUCUUUCUUCAUCUGCAUAUCUGUCCAAUUGUCUCAGGCCUCUCAAUUUUGACAUCACUAGCAUGAUUCAAGGUUACUAAAUCUUUCGAUAGAGGGUCUUUAUAUGUACACUUAACUUUUCCAAGGGUCAUAAAAUCAUUGCUUGACCUAUCAGCAGGAAUGUCAAUCAUGACCAAGAAAUCUCUUUCUUCAUCUGCGUAUAAGUCACCAAC